AGUGGACGCUGGCGGUAGGCCUAACACAUGCAAGUCGAACGGCAGCACAGUAAGAGCUUGCUCUUACGGGUGGCGAGUGGCGGACGGGUGAGGAAUACAUCGGAAUCUACUUUUUCGUGGGGGAUAACGUAGGGAAACUUACGCUAAUACCGCAUACGACCUACGGGCGAAAGCAGGGGAUCUUCGGACCUUGCGCGAUUGAAUGAGCCGAUGUCGGAUUAGCUAGUUGGCGGGGUAAAGGCCCACCAAGGCGACGAUCCGUAGCUGGUCUGAGAGGAUGAUCAGCCACACUGGAACUGAGACACGGUCCAGACUCCUACGGGAGGCAGCAGUGGGGAAUAUUGGACAAUGGGCGCAAGCCUGAUCCAGCCAUACCGCGUGGGUGAAGAAGGCCUUCGGGUUGUAAAGCCCUUUUGUUGGGAAAGAAAAGCAGCAGGUUAAUACCCCGCUGUUCUGACGGUACCCAAAGAAUAAGCACCGGCUAACUUCGUG
This 492-nucleotide ribosomal RNA is filed under the name uncultured bacterium. RNAcentral describes it as "partial 16S ribosomal RNA". It matches the Rfam family "Bacterial small subunit ribosomal RNA", at positions 29 to 507 of the family's 1533-position model. The record is from RNAcentral.